UGUGUGAUUUUGCCAUUUAUAUACAAAUCCCAGUCCAAUAGCGACCCGGUACAAUAAGAGAACCAACAAAAUAUUUAACAAAAUCACAAUUUAGGGAAGUAGGGAGCAAAAGAGUUCAAGAACUCUCUCUUCUUUGAUGCCUUUGGAAAUCCUCAAGUUGUGGCUCUUUCUACUCUCUGUUCAAGCGAUUCACUCCUCAAAGAGUUGAUGCAAGAUAAGUAUCUUUCGUUUCUUGAAUAGAUUGUUAUCUGAGGUUAAUAUAUGAUUUCCUACUGUUUCAAACUGAAACAGGAUCUAUUGAGCUCGUUCGUCAACCAAGACCACUCUAUUGCUGAACUAGAUCCUUCGAUUUGCUUCUUCAAACACGUUUACGCCACUGCGUAGCUCCAUAUGAUUGUGUUGACACUAGGUUGCUGCUUUCUGGUACCAUAGGGUCAGACAGUUUGCAGUUUUCAACCGGUAGGUGAUAAGUUCUCCUAUUUCGAGAACUCCAGAUAGUUGUAGAUCAUGUACUAUAUUUUUUUAUUUUUCAUAUGUAUUGAUUAGUGGUAGUUAGAGGCAUGUCCCAACUAUCUAUAGUCAGUAUAGUAGAGGUUUCAUAGAUGUCAGUCAGAGUUGGUCAUGUAAUUUGAGUUUCUUUCUUCAGUUUUAUCGUGAUGUAAACUGUAUCAUCAUUAACUUUAUUCAGGCUUUUCAUGAUUA
Long non-coding RNA from Capsicum annuum, 702 nucleotides. RefSeq lists it as uncharacterized. Lineage: Eukaryota; Viridiplantae; Streptophyta; Magnoliopsida; Solanales; Solanaceae. The record is from RefSeq and is a predicted model, not a curated record. The transcript has 2 exons.